Molecule: ribosomal RNA, 465 nt
Filed under: uncultured bacterium
Lineage: Bacteria
Description: bacterial SSU rRNA
Rfam family: Bacterial small subunit ribosomal RNA
Source: RNAcentral
CCAUGCCGCGUGCAGGAAGACAGCUUUNUGAGUUGUAAACUGUUUUUAUAUAGGAACAAAUAGGCCAUGCGUGGCAAGUUGCGUGUACUAUAUGAAUAAGCACCGGCUAACUCCGUGCCAGCAGCCGCGGUAAUACGGAGGGUGCAAGCGUUGUCCGGAUUUAUUGGGUUUAAAGGGUGCGUAGGUGGCGUGUUAAGUCAGUGGUGAAAUCCUGCAGCUCAACNGUAGAUGUGCCAUUGAUACUGCCUUGCUUGAGUAUGGACGAGGUAGGCGGAAUUUGUGGUGUAGCGGUGAAAUGCAUAGAUACCACAAAGAACACCGAUAGCGAAGGCAGCUUACUGGACCAUAACUGACACUGAGGCACGAAAGCGUGGGGAGCGAACAGGAUUAGAUACCCUGGUAGUCCACGCCGUAAACGAUGCUCACUCGAUGUAUGCGAUAUAUUGUAUGCGUCCAAGCGAAAGC